CGGGAAUACUGCAAAGCUAGGGAGUGGGAGAGGUAGACGGUACUCCGUAGGAAGGGGUAAAAUCCUUUGAUCUAUGGAUGACCACCUGUGGCGAAGGCGGUCUACCAGAACACGUCUGACGGUGAGGGAUGAAAGCUGGGGGAGCAAACCGGAUUAGAUACCCGGGUAGUCCCAGCUGUAAACUAUGCAAACUCAGUGAUGCAUUGGCUUGUGGCCAGUGCAGUGCCGCAGGGAAGCCGUUAAGUUUGCCGCCUGGGAAGUACGUACGCAAGUAUGAAACUUAAAGGAAUUGGCGGGGGAGCACCACAAGGGGUGAAGCCUGCGGUUCAAUUGGAGUCAACGCCAGAAAUCUUACCCGGAGAGACAGCAGGAUGAAGGUCAAGUUGAAGCCUUUACCAGACAAGCUGAGAAGUGGUGCAUGGCCGUCGCCAGCUCGUGCCG
RNAcentral lists this ribosomal RNA (441 nucleotides) under uncultured archaeon. RNAcentral's name for it is "bacterial SSU rRNA". It matches the Rfam family "Archaeal small subunit ribosomal RNA", at positions 576 to 1016 of the family's 1478-position model. The record is from RNAcentral.